This 888-nucleotide long non-coding RNA is filed under the name Manihot esculenta (cassava). RNAcentral's name for it is "long non-coding RNA (MESC_LNC007922)". Lineage: Eukaryota; Viridiplantae; Streptophyta; Magnoliopsida; Malpighiales; Euphorbiaceae. The record is from RNAcentral.
CUGGGGUCCUCGGUUCCUCGGGUCUGAACCUACACAGGUGGAAGCAAAUGAGGGACCAAACAUACUUGAACAUAACUCUAAAAUACUCCCCAAAAACCCCCUGAAACAUCAUGAAAACAUCACAUAAAAACAUGUAAGAAAUGGCUGAACAGGGCACUUUCGGCGGCAGGUUCGGCGGCCGAAAGUCCCUCCAGAGCCGAAAGUCAGGCAGGUUCGGCGGCACCUUCGGCGGCCGAACCUCCAAGACAGAUCCGAAAGUCUUCCUUCGGGGGCAAGCUUCGGCAGCCGAAUGCUGCCUCCACAAGGGGGUUCGGCGGCCGAAACUCCCUUCGGCGGCCGAACCUGGUUUCUGCCAGAAGGGCAGAAACUUGGUUCACAUGAACCCCUUGCCUCCCAAAACCUCAAAUCAUGCAUAAAUCCCAACCAAAACAUGCAUACAAGUUCCUAGGGGUCUCAAACAGUCAAAUACCCCAACUACAACACUUCAAACACACACAAUCAACACACAUUGCUCAAAACCUUAAUAUUAACCCAUAACUCAACAUAUAACCUAACAUGCCUUUCUACCCAUAGAUCUUGCAUAAAACUUAUUUAAAACACAUAAGGAGCUUAAGAUCGGCUCUUACCUCUUGAAGAUCGAGAGGGAGACGACCUAAACUUGGAGAUGCACGAAAAUGAGCUCUUGAGUUCCCAAAGCUCCAAAACUUGGUUUAAAUGCUCAAAACUUGCAAUGUGAGUUUAAAACUCAAGAAAAAUGGAAGAGAUUUGGAGGAAGAACACAAGAGUUGCAAAGGGAAGGUCGGAAGCUUGCUGUGGCCGAAAAUGGGAGAAAACUCACCCAUUUCGGCCAAGUGCCCCUUUUAUAGGUGGCUGGCCAGGCCACGUUCG